RNAcentral lists this ribosomal RNA (253 nucleotides) under uncultured bacterium. RNAcentral's name for it is "partial 16S ribosomal RNA". It matches the Rfam family "Bacterial small subunit ribosomal RNA", at positions 524 to 776 of the family's 1533-position model. The record is from RNAcentral.
UACGGAGGGUGCAAACGUUGCUCGGAAUUAUUGGGCGUAAAGUGCGCGUAGGCGGCCAGUUAAGUCAGAUGUGAAAUCCCGGGGCUCAACCCCGGAAGUGCAUUUGAAACUAAUUGGCUUGAGUAUGGGAGAGGGAAGUGGAAUUCCUGGUGUAGAGGUGAAAUUCGUAGAUAUCAGGAGGAACACCGGUGGCGAAGGCGACUUCCUGGACCAAUACUGACGCUAAGGCGCGAAGGCGUGGGGAGCAAACAGG